AACGAACGCUGGCGGCAUGCCUAACACAUGCAAGUCGAGCGAGACCUUCGGGUCUAGUGGCGCACGGGUGCGUAACGCGUGGGAACCUGCCCUUAUGUUCGGAAUAACUCCCCGAAAGGGGUACUAAUACCGUAUAAUCCCUUCGGACCAAAGAUUUAUCGCCUUUGGAUGGGCCCGCGUUGGAUUAGCUAGUUGGUAGGGUAAAAGCCUACCAAGGCGACGAUCCAUAGCUGGUCUGAGAGGAUGAUCAGCCACACUGGGACUGAGACACGGCCCAGACUCCUACGGGAGGCAGCAGUGGGGAAUAUUGGACAAUGGGCGAAAGCCUGAUCCAGCCAUGCCGCGUGAGUGAUGAAGGCCUUAGGGUUGUAAAGCUCUUUUAGCCGGGAUGAUAAUGACAGUACCGGGAGAAUAAGCCCCGGCUAACUCCGUG
RNAcentral lists this ribosomal RNA (433 nucleotides) under uncultured bacterium. RNAcentral's name for it is "partial 16S ribosomal RNA". It matches the Rfam family "Bacterial small subunit ribosomal RNA", at positions 29 to 507 of the family's 1533-position model. The record is from RNAcentral.